This is a non-coding RNA of Labrus bergylta (ballan wrasse), 196 nucleotides long. NCBI's taxonomy places the organism in Eukaryota, Metazoa, Chordata, Actinopteri, Labriformes, Labridae. The record is from RefSeq and is a predicted model, not a curated record.
CAGAAAUAUUUAUUGGUGAUGAACUGUCAGUCUGUCUUUUUCUCUGGCUUAUGGUCAUCAUGUUUCAUCCAAACCAAGCAGCUCUGCUCUCCUUAUUAUUUAUGCACGGGGUCUUUGCAGCGGAUCAAAAAGUCGUCCACACGGAUGAAGAGGUGUCCAGGGGAGGCUCUGUCAUUUUUAUUUGCAACACAUCAAG